Salmo salar (Atlantic salmon) is the source of this 1349-nucleotide non-coding RNA. The record is from RefSeq and is a predicted model, not a curated record. NCBI's taxonomy places the organism in Eukaryota, Metazoa, Chordata, Actinopteri, Salmoniformes, Salmonidae.
AUUUUAAAUCAGCAAAUUGUCUGUGGUAUUGAGUAUUUGCGCAGAGAGUUAAUUGAAGAGAGUGAGGUUAGGUGCAGACAACGAAGAUGGCAACAACAAGUAGUAAUUCAAACAUGAACUGUAUAGCACCAGGCGGUAUGAAUUGGCUCCAAAAAAAUCCCUUGGUAAGCUACCAUCGGCUGACCAAGGACCCACAAGCUUUGAAGAAGUGGCCCCAUGUCCUGAAGAGGAAUGACGUGCCAGCUGGAGCUAGCAGGAUCUGCAGACUUCGCGAUGAAGGGCACUUUCGAUGCGGCAACCCGGAGUUUCCGAAUGGAAAGGAGUCAUUGGCAUACGUUGAAGCUUGCGCCUCUAUUUUACAUUUCGAGGGUUAUGGUGUCGGGGUCACCGACCAUCAUCAACAUCGCUGCGGUCAUGACUGUUGUUGACUAGGCUAGCGUUAGACACUGGACAACUUUGUUGCAACUGAAGGUUUUCAUCCUGGAGGAGACUGUGCAGGAGGCAGAGGAGGAAAGAACGGUUAGUACAGCAUGCCAAAGUGACCCCUGGGUACCAGUGGUCCUGUGCUGCGGUGGAGAAGAGGUCCACCAGGACCAUCACUAAAGAGCUCAUGACCAUCAGUAUAUAACCGAGUCCUGCCCCUAUACGCCACAGAUGGAGCAGACGGAGAGUGAGAUCAGUGAAGACCAGAACUCACUGUAUGAACCUGAGAGCUCAGAAUCACAAUCACCACAGUACGAGCCAAGAUAUACGAUCACUUUGGGGGAGCGGGCUGAUGUUCCGAAAAUGGGGAAGGAGCAGGCCAUACAACAGCGAAUUCAAAGAUACACCCAUCCAUAAAGGGAAUCGGAGUGGAAUUGUUUUUCCACUGAUUUUUUUUACCUAUUUCAACAGACAUGCUACCUUGUCCCGGUCCUGCUGUUUUGACUCUCUCUCUCAACCUAUGAAUGCUCAGCUAUGAAAAGCCAUUUGCUCCUGAGAUGCUGAGCUGUUGCACCCUAUAUAACCACUGUGGUUAUUAUUUUCAUGUAAAAAGGGCUUUUGUAAAAUACAUUUGAUUGAUUGAUUGGUUGUUUGCUGUGCUGGAUGCUGUGUAUUCACUGUCUGAGUGAUGGGACAUUUUUAUAGUAUCAGUAACAUAUUUUUGUGUGUAUUUAAUCUGCAUCUUAACUUCUUAAAGUGGCAAUCUGCAGUAGAAGCAAUAACAAAGUGUCUCCCUGUUCCUCUUUCAGUAAAAAGCUAAGGGAUGGGGCUGGAGAAAUGUAGCUACUCUCAAAUUCAUAGACAGAGCUAUAGAUGCAAGGACUGACCAUCCAUGAUAUCAAAAUUGUAAUCCUGUUUCUGUGAUC